GACGAACGCUGGCGGCGUGCUUAACACAUGCGAGUCGAACGGAAAGGCCCUGCUUUUGUGGGGUGCUCGAGUGGCGAACGGGUGAGUAACACGUGAGUAACCUGCCCUUGACUUUGGGAUAACUUCAGGAAACUGGGGCUAAUACCGGAUAGGAGCUCCUGCUGCAUGGUGGGGGUUGGAAAGUUUCGGCGGUUGGGGAUGGACUCGCGGCUUAUCAGCUUGUUGGUGGGGUAGUGGCUUACCAAGGCUUUGACGGGUAGCCGGCCUGAGAGGGUGACCGGGGACCUGGGGCCUGAGAUACGGCCCAGAAUCCUACGGGAGGCAGCAGUGGGGAGCAUUGCAGAGUGGGGGGACGCCUGUGGCGGCAGCGCCGGGUGCGGGAUGACGGCCUUCGGGUUGUAAACCGCUUUCGCCUGUGACGAAGCGUGCGUGACGGUAAUGGGUAAAGAAGCACCGGCUAACUACGUG
RNAcentral lists this ribosomal RNA (468 nucleotides) under uncultured bacterium. Its description in RNAcentral is "partial 16S ribosomal RNA". It matches the Rfam family "Bacterial small subunit ribosomal RNA", at positions 28 to 507 of the family's 1533-position model. The record is from RNAcentral.